Molecule: non-coding RNA, 117 nt
Filed under: Gorilla gorilla gorilla (western lowland gorilla)
Lineage: Eukaryota; Metazoa; Chordata; Mammalia; Primates; Hominidae
Source: Rfam by way of RNAcentral
GCCAGGUGUGGUGGCUCACACCUGUAAUCCCAGCACUUUGGGAGGCCGAGGUGGGUGGAUCACCUGAGGUCAGGAGUUUGAGACCAACCUGGCCAACAUGGUGAAACCCCAUCUCUA